This 1073-nucleotide long non-coding RNA is filed under the name Equus caballus (horse). Its description in RNAcentral is "lncRNA (ENSECAG00000052277.1)". Lineage: Eukaryota; Metazoa; Chordata; Mammalia; Perissodactyla; Equidae. The record is from RNAcentral.
CACAAAGACCAUUAAUCUCAACUGGAAUUUGAGCAUGACACCGUGGCUCCUGGGAAACAUCCAGAGUAGUCCUGAGGAAUAUGAGAGACUCACUUUUUGCUCUCCGAGGAAGGAGGGCAUGAUGGACUUGUCCCCUGAGUGCUGCUCUGUAGCGGGUCCUGAUCCAGGUGCGGAGCGUGGGUGCUGCCACCCCAGGAAUCCUACCUGUUUUUAGCUUGAUGCUCAGUCUGCACUCACUGUUGACGCUGUGUGGGGGACGUGGCUUCCGGAUCCAGGAACACGGCCCCACUACAAGGAACGUCCUCAGGACAGGACGGGAGAGGUCCUAAUAACAGUCUUCCCCCUAACAACGCCCUCCUGAUUUAAAUAAAAUCUCACAUUUUGCUUUUAGAGUGUGUAAUAUUAUAUUCCCUUUAUGAUAAAAGAGGAAAUCUGGAAUAACGCAAAAAUAAUGCCCGACGAACGCCUCCACCGGGGAAUUUCUGAACAAUAAUCCCAAAACCAUAGAGGUGUGUCAAUGGGUUUUUAGUGACACUACAUAUCGUAAGUGACCCCGUCUCCCAAAUACAGUCAAUUUUAUCCAGCCACAAAAGAUUCACAAGUGCUGCCUUCCUCCUUUCUCUUCUAAGACCCAUUUCAUACCUUUCCUCUCUGUGCACAGAAAUCUUCUGUAGAAAAGCGGUUUCAAGUAGAAACAUUUUAUUCAACACAUUUUAAAUUCCAAGGAGCCUCCUGGGCAUUUUAAUAAGUAACGUUUAUUACACAAAUCCGACUGUAAGCUUCUAGCAGACCAAAAAUAGGUGUUUGUAUUAUUUUCCAUAUUAUAUUUAGUAGUGUCAUGUAAUAAAGUUCUUACUAAAUAAUGACUGUGUUAACAGGCCCGUGCUAUUAUCUCAUGCCUCCUAGGUUUGGUAGUCGGUUUAUUUUCCUCUAAUGGCAUACAGCUCUGGUUUACACAUAAGUUUUACAAAUUUCGCUUUGAUUUCAGAAGUGUGUUUUUUUAAGAAUAAAUUAAAUAGCUGUGGUCCAUUAAGAAAAAAAUUCUCCCUUUGUGUGUGUGUGUGUGUGUGUGU